GGCCUGUUGGUGAAGCGGUCGAACACACAUGCCUUUCACGCAUGCAUACAUGGGUUCAAGUCCCAUACAGGUCACCA
This 77-nucleotide transfer RNA is filed under the name Bacilli bacterium. Its description in RNAcentral is "tRNA-Glu". It matches the Rfam family "tRNA". From Rfam's summary of the family: Transfer RNA (tRNA) molecules are approximately 80 nucleotides in length. Their secondary structure includes four short double-helical elements and three loops (D, anti-codon, and T loops). Lineage: Bacteria; Bacillati; Bacillota; Bacilli. The record is from RNAcentral.